Molecule: non-coding RNA, 97 nt
Filed under: Castor canadensis (American beaver)
Lineage: Eukaryota; Metazoa; Chordata; Mammalia; Rodentia; Castoridae
Source: RNAcentral
UGCUGGACUGAGUGCGGUGGUAUUUACAGCUAAUUGAUUGCAACUAGUUAAAUAUUUCUUUGUUCUUUCUCCAACAGUUUCCCUUGACUGACUUUUU